Molecule: long non-coding RNA, 984 nt
Organism: Marmota flaviventris (yellow-bellied marmot)
Lineage: Eukaryota; Metazoa; Chordata; Mammalia; Rodentia; Sciuridae
Source: RefSeq, a predicted model, not a curated record
GGGUACUUCUGGGAGUUCCAAAUCUAAGAAGCAGGUUCUCUGCUGUCUUACGGCUUCAGGCAUCUGUCAGGGCUCAAGGGCUCAGUGUAUCCGUGGCUAAGGGGCAUUUCUGGACUUACAGAGAAAAUGGGCCUGGGGGGUUCCUAGAAUCCAAAGCAGGUCAGGAGGUCAUUUCAUCACUCUCCAGACACAGGGAUUUUCUCCCUGAGAGGUCCUUCCCUCUUCCUGUCACUGGCACUCUCCCCUCAUCAGUCCCCCAAGGCCCAUCUGAGAGACCACGGUCCCCAGGUAUCAGACCCUCUCCAGUUCUAACCUCUGGGAGGGCCUGCAGCCUUCUGUGGCUCCCCAGUUCUCUGCACACACCUUACAGGAGCACUUAGGACCUUGUGCCAGUGAGCACGAGUUGCCCAGUUCUUAGCGUCUGGGAGCUCCUGGAGAGUGAGCAGGGAACACAUCUUCUGCCUCUCUAGUGCCAUCUGGUAAGACACUCCAGGAGAGUCCGGUGGAUAAAUGAAGGCGCAGCCAGACUCUGAAAUAAACAGUGCAGCCUCCUUCACUUGGAGUUUAAGCACCUUAGCUCUGAAGUCACCCUUUCUUUGAAACCUCUUCUGAACUGUCCAAGUAUGAGGUCUCCUCUGCUCACCUUGACCCACCCCUGACUCGGGAGUUCCUGAAGGCUCCUCCUUGAGGUCCCCCAGGCCUACAACAGCAGCCACAGUUCCACUGCCCAAGCAAGGAGCCCUCUAGUCAUCAUGACCGGCCUCUCCCACAGGACACUGCAUUGUCUCCACAGGGCUCCUUCCCCACUGUUUGCUGGACAGGAUCCUGUGUGCUCCUCUGCUCAAAACUCUUUCAAUGUUCUAAUAUUGAUUGUGGUCAUGAUUGCAUAACUAAAAAUUAGUAAGAACCAUUGAAUGGCUCACCUUAAACAAGUGACUUGUAUGUUAUGUUAGUUGUAUCUGAAUAAAGCUGUUCUUUUUUUUU